UGGUAAGCAGUGGUUUUAUUAUGGUGGA
Molecule: small RNA, 28 nt
Filed under: Bombyx mori (domestic silkworm)
Lineage: Eukaryota; Metazoa; Arthropoda; Insecta; Lepidoptera; Bombycidae
Description: ovarian small RNA-35070
Source: RNAcentral